CCCCCAUUUUUUUUUUUUUUUAACAUUUUAAAAUCUGAUUUGGUCCGAUAAUCUGUAUAAGCAUUCGAAAAUGGCAUUGAUUGAUAUGGCUUCCUCACAUUGUUGCUGAUAAUUGAGCAACUUAAAUUGCUUAAUAUGUGUUCCUCAAAUUAAUUUCAACUUCUGCCUUUCUAUAGUCACUGAUUCCAGUGGGUGGCGUUGCUCUUGGCAAGGGCUCUCUCUAAAAUUGUAAAGGUGAGCAAUUCCUUUCCAUCAGCUACCAUGCUUAGCAUUCUUGUAAUAUUUGUGUUUUCAGAUUUUGUCUUCUAUCAAAGGUGAUUUUUUUACUUGCCUUUUUGGGACUCGAAAUAAAGUGUUGGAAUACAGUUCCCCAGGAAUAUCUCACAUGUCCGCUCAGCGUGGAUUCUCUGAAUGAAGAGUAAUGGAUAAUCUCCCUGGAGACGAGGAUGGGAAGAUAUACCAGCAACCCCACAAAACCCUAGAGUCUAAUGUCAUGCAACCCACUGCAUGAUGGAGAGGUGACAUCUGAUCCUUACCAUGUCACGCUGUGGGAGUUGGGGUAUGGGGAGCUAACAAACAAAACUGAUGUGUCUGCUUCUUUUUUUUUGGCUGUGAGUAAUAAAUUGUUUCUGACUCAAA
This is an RNA transcript of Lynx canadensis (Canada lynx), 639 nucleotides long. RefSeq lists it as uncharacterized. The record is from RefSeq and is a predicted model, not a curated record. The transcript has 2 exons. Lineage: Eukaryota; Metazoa; Chordata; Mammalia; Carnivora; Felidae.